Molecule: transfer RNA, 73 nt
Filed under: Ovis aries (sheep)
Lineage: Eukaryota; Metazoa; Chordata; Mammalia; Artiodactyla; Bovidae
Rfam family: tRNA
About the family: Transfer RNA (tRNA) molecules are approximately 80 nucleotides in length. Their secondary structure includes four short double-helical elements and three loops (D, anti-codon, and T loops).
Source: Rfam by way of RNAcentral
UCCCUGGUGGUUCAGUGGUUAGGACUCCAUGGUUCCAGUGCAGGGGGCUCAGGUUCGAUCCCUGGUUGGGGAA